Molecule: long non-coding RNA, 651 nt
Filed under: Brassica rapa (field mustard)
Lineage: Eukaryota; Viridiplantae; Streptophyta; Magnoliopsida; Brassicales; Brassicaceae
Description: long non-coding RNA (BRAP_LNC007913)
Source: RNAcentral
AAAAAUUUCAAUAGCGAGUCCAAAAUAUAUAAAUGUGUCUGUUAUAAAUGAGGAAGAAGAGAAGUGGGUGAAGAGAUAUUAUGAAGUGUAAAUAUGGAAAUGGAAGACCGGGUGAUUGUGGUCGAGUGGUAAGGAGACGGGGCUGAGACACCAACAUGUUUCAGGUUCGAUCCAUCUGCUGCGCGAAACUAAGUCACAAUUAUCCUGGUCACCCAACACGGAUAUGGGCCCAUGCUUUAGGGCCUAUUUGAAUACCCGGAGAGAGGGUCUAUCCGUGGGCUGCACCUCCCCUUGGGGAUUAGUCUGGGCCUCUCCAUGGGCCUGGGAUACCCCCAGGUUAAUCAAAAAAAAAAAAAAAUAUGGAAAUGGAAGAGAAGAAGCGGAAGCAAUGAGGUUUUCGAGAAGAAGAUCAAAUCAAGAUUCAUCAUUGCCCUGCAUCGGUUUGAUAUUUAUAUAUGGAGAAAUACAUAUAUUUUACAUGUUGUAUUUUCUUUCUUAGAAGAAAAAAGUAACGAAAAGAGAAAAUAUUCAUUUUAUACAUGUGUGUGUGAGAGUAAAGCAAUGCUAUUGAUUAAAAUAAAGUUAAGAGAAAUAAAUGAAACCGAAGCAAGGGAGAACUAUAAAUACAAUAGAGAGACCUACCCAACUAAC